UGCCACACACUACCUUCCGAGGUUUUUGAAAGUCGUAUGAAUACAGGUGCGUUUGUCCAACAGCUGUGACUUUGCCCGGCUGUCUUUGCAGGAGAAUCCGUAUGGGUGCAUCGUUUCCAGAAACUUGCCUCCAAAUCUGACAAGGAGAAGGCAAAGAUGAAAAAGGAGGAGGAGAAGGCAGAUAAUGAGGCAAAAAAGAGGCUCAAGAAGGAGAUGAAGGAGCAAGAGAAGAAAGACAAAGAGAAGAGACAGAAGAAAGAGAAGGAGCAGAAGAGAGAAAAGGAGGAGAAGAAGAUAGAAGACAGGUCGAGAUCUAUCAGGAUCGGAGAUCGAUUAGUUGGGUCUACGCCCACAUACAGGGGAGAUCGUUCCCGGUGUUUUCUUCACUUCUACUAAAGCUGUGGUUGAAGAAACACCACAUCACUAUGUGAUCAUUUAUCCCUGUUUUCCAGUUGUUGCAGGCCGGUGGUGGUGCUGGUGACCCGGGUGGUGGUGUCCUUCCCUUCUGUGUGCCGUGUCCCUGGGAUUGUGGGUGAUUUCACAUUGUGUGUGUGUGUGUGCUUGCCACGUGUGUUUGAGUGUUUGGUUAUUUUGACUUUAAUAUUUUUUUGCAUUUAGUAGAUUCCCCACUUCCCUCACUAGCUCCUGUCCGCACCUAUAGGCCUCAGUUCCUGAUCCUUAUUCCCUCUUUUUCUUUAUCUUGUGUAUGGCUGGAUUUUGUAGUGUUUUUAUAAUGGUAUUUUUGUA
Seriola aureovittata is the source of this 747-nucleotide long non-coding RNA. RefSeq lists it as uncharacterized. The record is from RefSeq and is a predicted model, not a curated record. The transcript is spliced from 4 exons. Lineage: Eukaryota; Metazoa; Chordata; Actinopteri; Carangiformes; Carangidae.